This 471-nucleotide ribosomal RNA is filed under the name uncultured bacterium. RNAcentral's name for it is "partial 16S ribosomal RNA". It matches the Rfam family "Bacterial small subunit ribosomal RNA", at positions 30 to 506 of the family's 1533-position model. The record is from RNAcentral.
AGUGAACGCUGGCGGUAGGCCUAACACAUGCAAGUCGAACGGCAGCACAGUAAGAGCUUGCUCUUACGGGUGGCGAGUGGCGGACGGGUGAGGAAUACAUCGGAAUCUACUUUUUCGUGGGGGAUAACGUAGGGAAACUUACGCUAAUACCGCAUACGACCUACGGGUGAAAGCAGGGGAUCUUCGGACCUUGCGCGAUUGAAUGAGCCGAUGUCGGAUUAGCUAGUUGGCGGGGUAAAGGCCCACCAAGGCGACGAUCGGUAGCUGGUCUGAGAGGAUGAACGGCCACAGGGGGAGUGAGAGACGGCACAGACGGCGACGGGAGGCAGCAGUUGGGAAUAUUGCACAAUGGGCGGAGGAGUGAUGCAGCAACGCCGCGUGCGGGAUGACGGCCGUCGGGGUGUAAACCGCUGGCGCCUGUGACGAAGCGUGAGGGAAGGUAAUGAGGAAAGAAGCACCGGCGAACUACGG